RNAcentral lists this ribosomal RNA (492 nucleotides) under uncultured bacterium. RNAcentral's name for it is "partial 16S ribosomal RNA". It matches the Rfam family "Bacterial small subunit ribosomal RNA", at positions 29 to 507 of the family's 1533-position model. The record is from RNAcentral.
AGUGAACGCUGGCGGUAGGCCUAACACAUGCAAGUCGAACGGCAGCACAGUAAGAGCUUGCUCUUACGGGUGGCGAGUGGCGGACGGGUGAGGAAUACAUCGGAAUCUACUUUUUCGUGGGGGAUAACGUAGGGAAACUUACGCUAAUACCGCAUACGACCUACGGGUGAAAGCAGGGGAUCUUCUGACCUUGCGCGAUUGAAUGAGCCGAUGUCGGAUUAGCUAGUUGGCGGGGUAAAGGCCCACCAAGGCGACGAUCCGUAGCUGGUCUGAGAGGAUGAUCAGCGACACUGGAACUGAGACACGGUCCAGAGUCCUACGGGAGGCAGCAGUGGGGAAUAUUGGGCAAUGGGCGCAAGCCUGAUCCAGCCAUACCGCGUGGGUGAAGAAGGCCUUCGGGUUGUAAAGCCCUUUUGUUGGGAAAGAAAAGCAGCAGGUUAAUACCCCGCUGUUCUGACGGUACCCAAAGAAUAAGCACCGGCUAACUUCGUG